This 253-nucleotide ribosomal RNA is filed under the name uncultured bacterium. RNAcentral's name for it is "partial 16S ribosomal RNA". It matches the Rfam family "Bacterial small subunit ribosomal RNA", at positions 524 to 776 of the family's 1533-position model. The record is from RNAcentral.
UACGUAGGGCGCAAGCGUUGUCCGGAAUUAUUGGGCGUAAAGAGCUCGUAGGUGGCUUGUCGCGUCGGUUGUGAAAGCCCACAGCUUAACUGUGGGUCUGCAUUCGAUACGGGCAGGCUAGAGGUAGGUAGGGGAGAACGGAAUUCCUGGUGUAGCGGUGAAAUGCGCAGAUAUCAGGAGGAACACCGGUGGCGAAGGCGGUUCUCUGGGCCUUACCUGACGCUGAGGAGCGAAAGCGUGGGGAGCGAACAGG